This is a long non-coding RNA of Crotalus tigris (Tiger rattlesnake), 1040 nucleotides long. RefSeq lists it as uncharacterized. The transcript has 3 exons. NCBI's taxonomy places the organism in Eukaryota, Metazoa, Chordata, Lepidosauria, Squamata, Viperidae. The record is from RefSeq and is a predicted model, not a curated record.
UCAAGCUGAUGGAAUUUAUUCAAGGCAAUGAAAUUGCAAAGAAUGUUGAAGUGCUGGAUAGAUUCUUUUUUUUUUUUUUUUGCUUUGCAAGUUAGAACCUUGUGCUGCAAAAAAAAAAAAAAAUCAGUUUAGAUUAAUGUCAGCCACCCUAGUGUAAUAAUUUAUUAUUCUUUACAAGCAUUCAUUUGUUUAAAGAAGCAAAACCUGAUGACAACAUUCUUGAUUAAUCUCAGUUUCAUCUUGAGAGCAGUGAUCAUGUAAAGGACACACAGUCGCACUUGUCUCAGAUCAACAGCGCUGGUGACAGUUUCAUUUGGAUGGCAGAGAAUGGCUGAAGGACAUUUUAUUACCAGCCUCCAAUCAUCUUUAGCAAAGCUUGCUCCAAAUUUCAGACAAUUAUUUACUCUCGGCAAGGACAGAAAUUCCAUGAUUUGAUCUUCGUUUGGAUUUCUGUCAAAAUACAGAAUCAGGAAAACAAACAAACAAACAAACAAACAAACCUGGCCACAAAAAAAAAAAAAAAAAUCUCAGCCCCAAGAAGUAACUCCAGAAGAGGAAAUCUCCUUAAUAAAUUCAAGAAUCCACUAACUUGCAGACAUUCCCCCCCCCUAAUUCAUUGCCAAUACUUUUUAUUAAUCAAAGUCUAUGGAUGGUGACUGCAGUGUGUGACUUUUGUGACAAUAGAACAUCUUCAUGGCCUCGUGGUAUCAGUUUCAUUUGCCUCUUCCCACUUCCAAUGCCUUUUUAAUUUAAAUUAGCUUAUCUUCCCACUCCAUUUGCAUUUGCAGUGAAAUGAAAUGCACGCGAGGAUCAAUGUUGAGUCAGCAAGAAGUGUGCAAAAUACUAACAAACAGUGAGUAUGCAAAACGAGCUGCAAGAACACUACAUAAGGGAGUGCAAAAGUGGGCUUGAAGCUCAACAUCAAGAAAACCAAGAUCAUGGCAUCCAUCCCUCUCAAUUCCUGGCAAAUAGAUGGGGAAGAAAUGGAGGUAGUGAUAGAUUUUAUCUUCCUGGGCUCCAAGAUCACCACAGAUGGGGAC